Long non-coding RNA from Gallus gallus (chicken), 1176 nucleotides. Lineage: Eukaryota; Metazoa; Chordata; Aves; Galliformes; Phasianidae. The record is from Ensembl.
CUCUUUCCUGUUUCUCAGUGUGCUGUGCACAGCGACUGUAUUUAUAAAACCAUGGUCUCUUACCAUACCCAUAGCAGUGGUCAACGUGUACUGAUGAGUACUAAGCGAAAAGCUUCUGUGCUAUGUUAUUCAUGGCGUGUGCCAGGGAAAUACCUACACAAGUGAAUGCAAUACCAUGCAUCUGCACUGAAUUACCUCGGCAAUGUAUGACUCUGCAAAUGAAAAAACUGAUGUACUGAUCAGCUUUAGUCAGCUACUAUAGCUCAGGACACCCAGCAGUAAACAGCAGAGGACCCAGAGGAGAGCAAGCAAAGCUGAAUUAGGAGCAGUUUGAGCAUCUCCAGUUCCUGAAAGUUAUGGAUGCUCAAGACAUUCUGAAUUUAACUUAAUGAGAUUAGUCUUUUGCUUGAAUUCACUAAUCCGCAGUGACUACAAUAUAAAAUCUUGCAAUUCUGUUACAACAUACCACCUACUUGCUCUUUCUUGGCCUCACAAAUUGUUUCUCUGAGGGGCUGCUACGAAAGAAGAAUAUACUUUUAUACCAGGAACUACCAUUUAAGUUAUCUCCUUCCAUCCAUAAUGCUGUUUUACAGACUGAAAUAAGAAGAGCUGGUACUGUUAAAGGAGCUCUCUCAAUCCUUUUUACUGGUGUUUUCCUGGAAAAAAAAAGUCACAGUGUUUGUUUGUUUUACAGUAUAUUUUGUUUUAGUUUUACUUGUGUUCAGCAAAGAUUAUUGACACUGAAAAGUGAAAGCCUGAGAAGAAAUGGAGGAGCCCAGAAAAAAUACUGGAAAGAAAGAGAAAGAAGGAUUGAAAGAAAGUCAAGAGAGAAGUACGCUAAGAAGCUGAGGUAAACAGAAGUGUUAUCAGUGCAUUGAUACAGAUGUGAAUUAUUGACACAACACCUUUCCUUCUCUCAAAAAUACCCUCAAACGUUCCUCUAAAUGAACACACUCAACCACUGAAAUAUUAGAAGUUAUCAUAAGUAAUAAUUAAUGUUACUUUUCCGAUGCAUCAUCCCUGGUGUCUGAGCUGUAUUAUAUGUUCUUUAUUUACACCUCAUUUUGCUAAUUUCUGUUACAAAUUCAGUAUCUCAUCUAAUGUAUUGAAUGGAAUAAUGUUCACAAGAUGAUUGCUAUUCCAUAAUUUUAUUCAGGAUGAUGAAAUGACUAGAUU